Molecule: non-coding RNA, 312 nt
Organism: Pelobates cultripes (western spadefoot toad)
Lineage: Eukaryota; Metazoa; Chordata; Amphibia; Anura; Pelobatidae
Source: the annotation of a GenBank genome assembly
CCUAUCUUCAGUAGACCCUAAAGGACUUGUGUUACACUGCAACAGAUAUUAAUGAGAUUUAUUCACUAAACUACAAUCUGCAGUGAUUUGCGUGGCACAAUUAUUAUUUAUAUAGCACCAGCAAAUUCCAUAGCGCUGUACAAUGAGUGGACUAACAGACACAUAACUGUAACUAGACAAAUGGACGCACAGGAACAGAGGGAUUGGGGGCCCUGCUCAGUGAGCUUACAUGCCAGAGGGAGUGGGGAAUAGUGACACAGAGGGUAGGGGUAAUGAAAUAGGUUGCUAGAAAAGUAUUCACUGAGAACUUAA